This 569-nucleotide ribosomal RNA is filed under the name Lobophora undulata. RNAcentral's name for it is "LSU rRNA". It matches the Rfam family "Eukaryotic large subunit ribosomal RNA", at positions 37 to 598 of the family's 3401-position model. Lineage: Eukaryota; Phaeophyceae; Dictyotales; Dictyotaceae. The record is from RNAcentral.
AGCAUAUAACUAAGCGGAGGAAAAGAAACUAACCAGGAUUCCCCCAGUAACGGCGAGUGAAGCGGGAAGAGCUCAUGUUUGAAAUCCAGCUCUCAACGGUGCUGGAGUUGUAACCUAGAGGUGCGUGUUGCCUGCCGGGGGGACCGCGGCCAAGUCCGAUUUGAAAAGGGCACCAAGGAGGGUGGCAGUCCCGUUCGUGCCGCAGUUCCGCCGGCGAUGUGGCCCGCUUCCAACGAGUCGAGUUGCUUGGGAUUGCAGCUCAAAGUGGGUGGUAAACUCCAUCCAAAGCUAAACACGUGUGGGAGACCGAUAGCGAACAAGUACCGUGAGGGAAAGAUGCAAAGAACUUUGAAAAGAGAGUCAAAGAGUGCCUGAAAUUGCUGAGAGGGAAGCGAAGGAAAGUAGUGUCGGUCGUGGGGAUCUCGCACACGGGGAGCGGCCCGAUCAUCAUUCUUUGGUGGUCGGGCCCUCUCCGUUAUCCCCCGCACUGUCAGGGGCGGGUGCGCGGAUUGGCCGAGGCGGCGGCCAGAGGUAAAGGUGUUCCGAGGUAACAGCCGGACGAAUGCGGU